CCUCCAGGUGGCUCUCCUGGUCCGUGCAGACGAAGUAGCUGUAAGGGGAGAACCAGGGCCGGUAGAUGGUGCAGUUCCGCCUCAGCUGCUCUCCCUUCUGGGAGUCCCCCAAAAUGCAGUCUGUGGAGGAAAGGGUUGGGUGUGAGCGUGGGGCAGCCCCUGGCCCCCCAGCUUCUCCCACGUGCCCCCCCGCCCCCAGUGCAGAGGAGGCCUCACCUGGAGAGGAGAGCGUGUUCUGCACCCCGUGCCGGAGCACGCUGCCGCGGUACCGGGCUGGCGGGGCCUGAGCCGCGUUGGACGCCUCGGGGGGUGGUGCGCUCUUUGCGAUGUCUGGGUUAUGGAAGAAACGCUCCGGUGAGCCGAGCACGGUUGGGGGUCCUCUUCUUAGCCUCCCCCCCCAUCCCCGCCAGCAUACCUACAGGCUCUACCUUGGGACUUUGUGACCGUGCAAAGCCGAAGAACAGAGCCUCUUUUGCACCCAGAUAAGCAGAACUAUUCUGGAUGGUGAGCCGGGGAGUUCCAGGGGGGCAUUCGCCAGGCGGUCUGGGGGGGAUUCUCUCCAAGGGAGACUUUCAGAGGCGGACCACAUGACCCCUUUCUGCCGGGCCCAUCCUUCCCUUGACCUUCCUGCUGCUCGCUCUGUGUGUGUCUGUCUGUCUGUCUGCCUGCAUUCCAGCCUAUGGGGUCCACGGGAGGGAGUCUAGUCAUGGACCACGCAGCUACGUUCUGUGGCCCCUUGGGGGACGAGGGGCUAGUUUCUCCCAUUGAAACGUCUCCCACCCAGAGCCAGGGAGCGUACAGGGGACCCUAGCUGCGUGCAACACCCCGAUGACUGCUAACGCUUGACAGAAAGCCAGCUUGCUUCAGACCCCGGGGCGGUGCCAGCGCCGAGCUUGGCAAAUGACUGUGUGAGGGUCCCCUGUGCAGGCACAUGCGUGUUCAGGAGAGCCGGCUCCUCCACAGAGCGGCCGCCUCAAGCUCUAAUGUGCACACUUCUCCAGAAACCAGCUGGCAGUGUUGUUACACACGUAGGUUCUGGUUGGGCAGGUCCGAGGGGGUGCGGGUCAGGGGCAGCCCGAGAUCCUGCAUUUUAACGGGCUCCCAGGGGAUGCCCACACCUUGAAUAGCAAGUCCUAGGAGCAUCCGCAUUGAUUCCACGCUGUGCUUGCUCCCCAGGGACCCUGCCCCUUAGGAUCCCGCUGAGGGAUUCGUGAGCUGCCUCUCCUCCGGCUUGCCAAAACAGGGCUAAACUAGCACCUGCUCUACAUAGACGGCACCCGAAAGUCUAGAGUGGAGGCGGGGCGGGGGGGGACUUGAUAGCAAAUGUUUUCCCCCCGUCCUUCCCUUGCCAGAAGUGCAUAAUGCACCAGGAACUACUUACCAUGAACGCAGCAUUUUGAAAAAUUAUUUUCUCCCCAUGUGUAAUUUGACUUUCUCACUAAAUCAUAGUCCUGCAACGUGAUCUCGUAGAGUACACAAUUAAAAGCCUUCCAAAAAAAACCCACACUUUUGUGGCCCUAGUGGCACCAGUGUUUACCUGGCAAGCUGGUGGCACGUGAGGACAUAAUGUCAGGAAAAGCACUCAGGGCUGAGGAGGAGAUUCGAGGUCCAGAAAUGCUGAGGAGUGAGAAGUUCUCCAUGUUCUGACUACUGUAGGGUGUGGAGAUCGCACAUCGGCUCCCAAGAGGUUGGUUUGGGUUGUCCAGACGAACAUUCUGAGCACAGCUGACAUCACAAGGUCACGGGAUUCCACUCGCUGGCCAGGCCAUCCCUUUUGCAAAGACGGAUGGAGUCUCUUAAACUUUGUAAAGAUUUUUUUUUUUUCCGACUUGUCAUUUUCCUCAUUGGAAUACCCAGGGGGGAGGGAGCAUGUGGCCGAGGCAUGACUGCGAUGUAACCCGCUGACCCCGCCCCGUUGAUCUUUUGCUGUCAUUUUUGUGUCCUUGCCGUCAUUCCCCCACCCCCACUCUGGGGACCCCUGUCCUCCCGGAAUAAACGUCUUGCGUUGCUUCACCUUCAUCCGCCUACCCUCUGCCAUCAUCAGAUGGUUUUGUUCUUUCUGUUUUUAAAAAGCUUGGGGUGUGAUUUUCACAUUUUCUUUGGAAGUCGUUGCAAAGUCACAAAAAGUCGCAGCGCUAAAAUUCAUACAGAGAACACCCCUGCGUUCUGCAUCCCGGCUUUCCUCUCGUUAACAUCUUACCCCGUUUGCUUUAGCGUUUCCCUCCGUCCGCCCCAUACGUCGUUUUCUGAGCCAUUCAAAGGUAAGUUGCAGGCGUCAUGUCCCUUUGUGCCUAAAUGACUUCAGUGAGUUCUUCCUAAGAGUAGGGACCUGAUAAUGUUUUAAAUGGUCAGUGCUAUUUUUUAGCAAAUGACUAAAACACGCAAAUGGGGGGCUCACCCCGCACCAUUUUGCUCCUUAGAAGCCGUUUGCUGGGGAGACUGAAUGCCAGAGCGGCAAGACUGCCUCUUGUCUCUGCUUGGCUUCUGUCCUGUGACGCCCUAGCACCCUAGGAGGGCUGCGGAGCAAAGGUGAAAGGUGACCGUGCCACUCUGGAGCGAGGCCCCGCUCUAGAACAUCGCGACAUGUACACACUGGGUACCUAGGGCACCUGGGAUCUCAAUGCGUGUGUGCUUGUGCUGCGUGGGAAGAGGUGGCCCGGCCCGCCUCUUCCAGCCCGUGGGUGCGUGAGUGACCAGCUGCGUGUGAGAGCCCAGCCGGUUGGAGAUCGAGAUCCACAGUAUGGAGAACCUCAUCCCCUUGUGGGCCUCCCCCUGAGCCUGGUUUGGAAGCUUAGAAUGAGCUGGAAUGUAACUGACACUAUGGACGUUGGCGACGUUGAUGUGGACCACGGCAUGUUCGAGAACCUGAACGCGGCCCACGCUCCCAGGCUGCAGCCCGGCUGCUCCUUCCCCCACCCGUCCAGGCUGGCGGCCACCCAGGGGCCUGUGGAGCCCGGCGGGCCGGGGCCCCGGGUGGGCGGCAGCCAGCACCUCAGGAACCUGGGCAGAGCCGUGGGGGCCAGAGUUAACGACUUCCUGCGGAGGAAGGAGCCCUCGGGCCUGGACGGGGCGGGCGCCAUGGAGAUCAACAGGACGGCGGGGGCCCAGCUGGCCGGCGGGGCUGCGGGGGACGAGAACAGGUGCACCCAGCAAGACGCAUUCCCUCGGCUGGAUCCUCCGCCUCCCACCGCCAGGAAGCGAACCCCACGGGCCCUGAAGACCACGCAGGACAUGCUCAUCUCGUCGCAGCCCGUCCUGAGCGGUCUGGAGUAUGGGACCGAGCUGGCUCCUGGGCAGCCCCGGGACACGCUGCCCGCCGCCCCGCCGGAGGCCCCCGUGGAAACGGCGGGUGGGGGCGAGGCCCUGCCCAACGGAGAGGUUUCGCUGUCGGUGCCCGACCUCAUCCACCAGGACAGCCAGGACGAGCCCAGGCUGAAGAUGACCGAGUGCAGGAGGGCCUCCUCCCCAGGGCUCCUCGAGAGGAACGGCCUCAAACUCAGCCUGAGCCCCCUCCACCUGGCCGAGCCCCCGGGGGCCGGUGCUCCUCGGGCACGGACCUCCAGCCUUGACAAUGAGGGCCCCCACCCAGACCUGCUCUCCUUUGAGGGUCCUGUCGUGCUGUCUUCCUGUGGCCGGGAGACCCUGUCGGGGGGUGAUCCCAACCCUGGGGGCCUUUGCAGCAAGAAGAAAGCAUCCCUUUUGUUGAACAGGGUGGCUGGCUCCCCUGGAGAAGGCCGGCGCGGCACAUCCAGCCGUGGUCGGCUGCUGGGCCGUCUUGCUCACGGGCUUCCUGCAGCCUCUCUCUUGUCCAUCAGUCGGCUCCCCUGACCCCGACCCUUCCCGCUGCAUCCCACCCCUCACCUUUGCCGUGUGACAUCUCCACGCUAGGUCCCACAGACUGGUGGAGGGUGGGUGGGAUCUUCAGGGUACCAGCGCCCGCCCCACCCUCCUGCACCUGCAGCCACGCCACCUCGCCCACCUUGCCCACCUCGCCCCGUCUGCCCCAUCCACCCCAUCCGCCCCAUCCGCCCCGUCCUGCAGCCUGUCUUCCGUUGCUCUGGAAAGCAAGGCUCCUGCACGUGCCCACAGCAAGGCCUUGCAUCCCUUGCCCAGGAGAGGCUGUGCUUGCCAGGCACCCUGCAGGCCGGGGCACAGUGAGCAGGGCGGUCACUGAAGGUCUAGGUCCCGCCUGACCCCAAGGGCACGAGGACGACGGGUUAUCCCACCCCGGGGCUCAGUUCCUGGGACUGGCGUCCGGGAUCCCAUGAGUUCCCUGCGGGGCUUGGAGUGUCGCACCGCACGCAGAGCUGGGGGUGGGGGCCGAGAAUCUGAAGCUGUAGCCGGGAGCUGGCGGGGUUCCCCGUGAGCUCCUGUGCUGGAAGCCCAGUUCGCGUCUCCGGCGGGACAUCGAGCAGAGCCUUGCCCUCCGGGGCUGCUCCCCCCGAGCUCAGGGUGGCCCCGGCCAGGUGAUAUGGGAGCUUGCACACGGCCCGCGGGCCCAAGCUGGCUUUGCGCCCUGCCCUCCGCGCCGCACCCAGCCACUGCUGAGGUCCCGGCCCUCGGACUCAGGGUCAGGACGGGGGCCCCAGGCAGUCCCAGGCCCGUGGCUGGGGUGACGCUGGAGUGCCUCAGACGGUGUCUGACACCACACGGGGGCCGCGGGACCCUGCUGCAGCCUCUGGCCUCUGCAUGAUCUCCCUGCCGCCAGCGUCCUCCUUUGGGGAUGAUGCUCCUCCCUCCCCCCAGCCCGGGGGAGCGGGGCUCAAGCUGAAGUCUGGUGCUAGAUGCUGCGGAGGCUGUAGCACGUAGCGGGUGCAGCUAGAUGCUGCGGGUAACGGAUAGCACCUGGAGCAGGGCUGAGCGUGCCCCCCGCGGCAGCGACGACCACCUCGGGCCGGUUGUCUGUCCGGCCCCCCGCCUGGCUUCCGGCGUUUGCCCCCACAGCCUGACCUCCCUGGGGUCACAGGGCAGCAGCCCCCGCCCCCCGUCCACGCACCCACCCCCCUCACACUGAGCCCAGCAUCUCCGGGGCCUUGGCCUCUGGGUGGCCCAGUCAACACGAGCAGGCUAAGGAGAAGCGAGGGCCCCGCCUCCUGGAUCUACGUGAAGCAGCUGGGGGCACCGAGUCUGUUCUCUCCCCGUUACCCCCAAGCCCGCUGGAACCCCGUAGGCAGCGCGAAGCUUCCCCUGAUGAGUCGCAAGUGAGCUUCCAGAACCCGCCAGGGGGCAGGUGCGUCCCCCUGCAGGAGCCAGAGGCACCUGUGUCGCGUAUGUGGGCGGCGCAGAGACAAACCCGCAUCUGAUCCGUCGACUUUGAAGGAAUGGACGGGUUGGCCCCAGUCUGGGAGAGGAAGGGGACGGAUCGGAGCAUUUUCUAGAGAUUUUAUAUUUAUAUUGUUAGUAGUGUUCUGGUAGAGGGAAGCCGCGGAAUAAAACGAUCCGGUUUGGUUCUUGCCGGCUUGGUUUCUCCCGACGGGAAGUGACUUGUUGGGUGGAGGGUGUCUGCACGCUGGGUUUGGAGUGGGGAAGCAUGAGGCGGGUGGGCACUGCCCGCGGACCCCCACUGGAGGCCCCUGGGGGAACUGAUCUCGGGUUGUGCCUUCAUUUGUCCCCCUAAGCAGCCGGCUCCCCACUGUGUGUCCCUCUUCCAGCCCGACCUGUGGCUGUUUCAGGGGCCGCGUGACGUCAGCCUCCUCCUCCUCGGGAGGAAAUGCAAGUGGGCCGCUGGAUGGAACUCGAGGCGGCGACUCACCCUGGGUCUGGCAUCCUCUUCCACCCCUGGGCACACAGGCCGCCUCCAGCGGGACAGGCGCUGCUGAUGGAGGUGCUCCCCCACCCCUGCACCCCACACACUGCGGCAACCCUGAUGCUCACUUGUUGAGAGCGUGUGACUUGGAGGCCAGGUCGGCAUCGAGCCCGGGGACUCAGGCUGAGAAUCCACCAGGCCUCUGAGCACCUUAAAAGGAGGAAGUCGGGAUCCUCAGGUGGCUUAGUGGUUGAGCGCCUGCCUCCGGCCCAGGUCAUGACCCCAGAGUCCCGGGAUCGAGUCCUGCGUCGGGCUCCCUGCAUGGAGCCUGCUUGUCUCUCUGCCUGUGUCUCUGCCUCUCUUUCUCUCUCUCUGUCUCAUGAAUAAAUAACAUCUUUUAAAAAUGGGGGGAGGAAGUGGAGAAGAGAGGGACGGAGCAGAGAAAGGCCUUCACGCUGUCCACAGACGCUACCUGCGUUUUUAAAGGGGGGGAAGGAUGCGGCCUUUCUGCCCAGCGCGGCCCUUUGCCGCCGUGACCAUGCCCGGGUGGUGGAUUCGCAGUUGAGCAGUUGGGUCCCGGGCCCCACGUCGGGAAGGUCUCUGGCAGGAGGCUGCAGCCUUUCCCGUGUGGAACUCACCUCUGGGUUCCUCGACGCGGUGCAAGACGCCGGUGCCCGAGGGUCACCCACUGGCUCUGCAGCGGGGCUCGCCGUGCCGUCUGGGAAGGCGGGAGGGACGCCCAACCCGGUCCAACGCAUCCGUGCCCGGGGGGCGGGGGGCACUGAAAGUACAGCAGCCCCUGUCCCCCGCCCGCAGGCCCCAGCGCCCCUUGUUCAGGGCCCACUCCCCGGGGGGUGGCUCCAGAGGCUUCUGCAGGCACGAAGUCAAAAGGCCUUUCGCGCACCUUUUCCACUGUUGUGCACAGGAGUUACUCGGAGUGACGGGCGGGCGGGGAAAGUCAUGAAGCCCACGAUGGUUUUUUGAGGCAGCGUAAAGGUGGAUGUGCCUCUGGGACCUUGCUGCUGUUCUCCAGGCUGAGCUGAUGGUCCGGAAAGCACGACACCAGGAUGCAUUUGUCCAGCCGACCUGUCGAAGCCCCCGCGUGAGCAGGGUGACGUGGUGGGAAGGGGAUGCCUGGUUCUCUGUCCCCGUGUCACGGUGGCAGGGGGUGAGGACGCCUGGGAGCCUGGCCUGAGCCGCUCCCAGGCCCCCUGAGCAGGGCAUCGAGCAACAGCAGAGGCUCCCAAGGGGGCCAGUGAAUUUCACCUGCAACGGGUCUUCCCCGGGGCCUGAUCUCACUGCAAGUGCCGACCAGAGCCACCAGAGCAGCGGUCACCGGGAGGCCACCUCGCCGUUCCCAGCGGUGGCCCAGCCCGGCCGGUCUCCAGGACUUAAGGAAUGAGCUGGUCCAGGGCUGUGCCUCAGAUGCUGCUCCGGCCUCCAAGAAUUCCUGCUUGUUCAACUUGCUCGCAGGCCCUGGGGCUCCUUUCAGGCCAGCGAAUCCUGGAGGGUUCUAGAACCCUGUGUGCUUUGACUUGGGGUCCCAUCCACCACCCUCCCACCUCCCGUCUCUACCACCGCAGAGCUUUCCAGUCCAGCUGGCAGCUGCCACCGAUUCGGCGAUGGUUCAUCUUUGUGAUUUGGGGCCUCGGGGUCUCGGGGCUCCACUCUCAGCGGGGAGCAUUUGGGGUGCCCCGUGCAGAGCCCCAGCCGCAGCCGCCCUGCCAGCAGGGGCGCGUAAUUAAGCCUGCACAGAGCCCCCGGGCCCGCAGUGGCUCCCCCCGCCCCCGCCGUGUCCUAGGUGCCCACGGCGUCCGCGUCUCCCAUCGCUCCCACGGAAAUGCGCUCCAGAGGCUUUAAUUUCGGUUGUUCAGUGAAAGCAGCUCCGGGGGCUUGGCCCCUGCGACAGGCCCUCCUCCCUGCUGCCGCCGGCCCUGGGGUCCCCGCACUGACUAAUGAGAAAAUUCUUCCGCGUUGAGUAUCCAGGGCUCGUCCCUCCUCGGACACAAAUCCCCUUUGUGUGCAGCUUAUCUCCAGCUGCUGCCAUGAGACCGGGUCCGCCUCGAGGGACCCGCUGGCUCUGCCCCAGGAGCCGGUCCCUCGGUUAUUGCGGGGACGUGAGCUCGAGGAGAGGGUGAAAGACCGACUGGGCCACAGCAGCCUCCCCUCCUCCCCGCCCCGGGAGGUGCCUCAGGAAUGUGUAGCACGGCCAGCAUUUUCUCUUGGGAAUAGGCCAGAAAGGGAAAAAGAAAAAGAAAAAAAAAAAAACCCAAAACGAAAAGCAACCCACCCCAGCAAAAUGCAGCUGGUUUGGUUUGGGUUUUGCUGUGGACCCGGCUGGCCGUCCUCAGGGCCCUGCGCCGCGUCCUCUCCUGCCUGGGCCCCGGCGUGUCCUCGAACUCCCGUGGGCCUGUGCUCCAGCCCAAGUGAGUGUUCGGCCCUCCUGACGGCCGCCCGGCAAGUGUCCCCAGCGGUUGCAGGCACAGGUCACCAGGCCGCCGUGGGCCCUUCGGGAGCAGCCCGGCCUCUGGCAAUGGAUGGCGGGGACCCAGUCGGCCCUGUGACCCGGGCCCCGAGCCCGCGGCGGGCAGCCCCGGUUGUGGGGAGGGGUACCGCAGAGUCUGGCCUCUGGCUGCCCCAGGCCCAGGGAGAUCAUUUCCGUCCACCCUCCCUGCCCAGCUGAGGCCCCGGGCCCUCUGUCGGGAGCCGUCGACAGUCCUGGCCGCAGGAGAAUGUUCCUCGGAGCGGGCCGACGGGGGACCCUCCAGGACUGGACGAGGCGCAGGCGGCCUGUGGGGCCGCCGAGCGAUGCCUGCGGGUCUGGCCCGAGCCCUGUUCACUUCGGACGGCGCGGCCCAGGAGCUCGGGAAAGACGGGCCGCGACCUGAACGCCUCGACUCAGGAGUCAAGGAGCUUCGAAUGCAUCUCGGGACAUGUUCCAAGUCUGUCACCCUGCACCCACACACACUCCAGAGCUGGCUGGUGGGGAGCAGACUGGACGGGGCUCUCGCUGAGGGCCGGCCCUUCCUCGGGGCCUCUGCCCACACACGCGCUCCGCACCUGAACUCGGACCCGAGAGGAUUGAGGGAGGCCACAUGCAAAGUGGAGAAUGAUUAACGGGCCGGCGUGUAGGUCAUUUAUCUCCAGCCGGAGCCUCUGUUUAACUCCGUUCCCUGGACAGAUGCCACCUUGCCCCGGGGCCAGCAGAAGCCCACACUCCUGUCCAGCCUCGUGUGACAAGGUGCCUGGGGUCUGCACCUCUGGGUGCUGCUUCUCCGACGGUUGCAUUCCGAUGCUUCGCAUUCACACGUUAUCACUUGGGGCUUUGCUAUUAAUUGGUGCUCUGUUACUAUAUUUCCAAAGCUCCUGUGCAUUCCAGGAAUUUGUGCUAAUCAAUUUGCAUUGAUCCUCUCAUUUGUUUUUCUCAUUAGCCCUGUAAAGAUAGUCCUACGAAGCCCAUUUUUCAGAUACAGUAUCUUACUGCAGGCCAAGAGACUCACACACGUGCUCUCGUUAAUCCUCACAUCCUGUGACAUGGUUAUUUCAGCCCCAUUUUAUUGAUGGGUUUGCUGAGGUUGAGGCAGUGACCACGUAGAGCCUGAGGCUUACAGCCCAUAAAGGGAAGAGCAAGGCCAGGAGGCCCGGGUGUCCAGACCUGAGGACCAGGCACCUUCCUCCACACAUGGCUCUUCUCUGUUCCCAUCACACCAGUCUGGUAAAUCUCAGGAGCCAGUCAGGGCCCAGAAAUGACUUUUUGAGAUUUGGCCCUUCUCCGGGGGUGAAUGCAAUUUCAUUGAACACUGAAUCUUCAUGUAGACCAGAAAUGGAGAGACCCAUUCACCAGCCCUCUCAUUUCACAGAAGAGGAAAGAGUGAAGACUGUGUUUUUCCCAAGUUCUCCUGCGCUGGCAGUGGUCUGAGUCCCCACAAUACCCUGUGCAGUGAGAAUUACUACCGCACUCUCCAGGUGAGGCUGACCAGAGGCCAAGGGGGUGUCACCAACCUGCCCAAAGUCACCCCACCAGUAAGGACGGAGCCAAUGCUACUUUCCUUGAAAACAUUCAUUCACAAGGAUUUGGGGUAGGAAUCUGCUCUAGAUUUGCAAGAAUUUCAGCUCCAAGCAGGAGCUGCUGUAACACUUCUACUGCAUUUCAAAUUGCAAACUGACAGGGAAGCUGGCUUGUACACUAAUCCUGUUAUCGACACUGGAGAUUAAACAUUCAAAUGAGAGGUAUUAUUCCAA
Canis lupus familiaris (dog) is the source of this 9988-nucleotide RNA transcript. RefSeq lists it as uncharacterized. NCBI's taxonomy places the organism in Eukaryota, Metazoa, Chordata, Mammalia, Carnivora, Canidae. The record is from RefSeq and is a predicted model, not a curated record. The transcript is spliced from 5 exons.